UGCUGUCCAGAUGAAUAAACUGCAUCUGAAAGGGCCGGGCAGGACCGAUGCCUGCCGCCCCGCUAAUACCGGCCGGUCGAGUGGUGGCCGCUCUUAAUGGGCUUAAAGGGUCCGUACCUAGCUGGUUGGGUCCCUUGUCAAAUCAGUCUGCUUACCUGACUGGCGUGCUUGGGAAACUUGCUGUCUGGGUACCGGCAGAGGUGAGGGGUACUUCCGGGGUAGGAAUGAAAUCAUUCUUUCCCUGCGGGACCACCUACCUGUAAGGAAUGCCUCCUAACCGAACCGGACCGAGAGGGACGAACGCUGGGGGAGCAAACCAAAUUAAAUACCCGGCCAGUCCCACCCGUCCACUAUCUAUGUUCGGUGUGUGUCUGACCUGGUGUGACUGAGGUGCCUACCG
Molecule: ribosomal RNA, 400 nt
Filed under: uncultured archaeon
Lineage: Archaea
Description: bacterial SSU rRNA
Rfam family: Archaeal small subunit ribosomal RNA
Source: RNAcentral